GACGAACGCUGUCGGCGUGCUUAACACAUGCAAGUCGAACGGAAAGGCCCUGCUUUUGUGGGGUGCUCGAGUGGCGAACGGGUGAGUAACACGUGAGUAACCUGCCCUUGACUUUGGGAUAACUUCAGGAAACUGGGGCUAAUACCGGAUAGGAGCUCCUGCUGCAUGGUGGGGGUUGGAAAGUUUCGGCGGUUGGGGAUGGACUCGCGGCUUAUCAGCUUGUUGGUGGGGUAGUGGCUUACCAAGGCUUUGACGGGUAGCCGGCCUGAGAGGGUGACCGGCCACAUUGGGACUGAGAUACGGCCCAGACUCCUACGGGAGGCAGCAGUGGGGAAUAUUGCACAAUGGGCGGAAGCCUGAUGCAGCAACGCCGCGUGCGGGAUGACGGCCUUCGGGUUGUAACCCGCUUUCGCCUGUGACGAAGCGUGAGUGACGGUAAUGGGUAAAGAAGCACCGGCUAACUACGUGCCAGCAGCCGCGGUGAUACGUAGGGUGCGAGCGUUGUCCGGAUUUAUUGGGCGUAAAGGGCUCGUAGGUGGUUGAUCGCGUCGGAAGUGUAAUCUUGGGGCUUAACCCUGAGCGUGCUUUCGAUACGGGUUGACUUGAGGAAGGUAGGGGAGAAUGGAAUUCCUGGUGGAGCGGUGGAAUGCGCAGAUAUCAGGAGGAACACCAGUGGCGAAGGCGGUUCUCUGGGCCUUUCCUGACGCUGAGGAGCGAAAGCGUGGGGAGCGAACAGGCUUAGAUACCCUGGUAGUCCACGCUGUAAACGGUGGGUACUAGGUGUGGGGUCCAUUCCACGGGUUCCGUGCCGUAGCUAACGCUUUAAGUACCCCGCCUGGGGAGUACGGCCGCAAGGCUAAAACUCAAAGGAAUUGACGGGGCCCCGCACAAGCGGCGGAGCAUGCGGAUUAAUUCGAUGCAACGCGUAGAACCUUACCUGGGUUUGACAUGGAUCGGGAGUGCUCAGAGAUGGGUGUGCCUCUUUUGGGGUCGGUUCACAGGUGGUGCAUGCCUGUCGUCAGCUCGUGUCGUGAGAUGUUGGGUUAAGUCCCGCAACGAGCGCAACCCUUGUUCACUGUUGCCAGCACGUUAUGGUGGGGACUCAGUGGAGACCGCCGGGGUCAACUCGGAGGAAGGUGGGGAUGACGUCAAGUCCUCAUGCCCCUUAUGUCCAGGGCUUCACGCAUGCUACAAUGGCUGGUACAGAGAGUGGCGAGCCUGUGAGGGUGAGCGAAUCUCGGAAAGCCGGUCUCAGUUCGGAUUGGGGUCUGCAACUCGACCUCAUGAAGCCGGAGUCGCUAGUAAUCGCAGAUCAGCAACGCUGCGGUGAAUACGUUCCCGGG
Molecule: ribosomal RNA, 1343 nt
Filed under: uncultured bacterium
Lineage: Bacteria
Description: 16S ribosomal RNA
Rfam family: Bacterial small subunit ribosomal RNA
Source: RNAcentral